AAAAGAUCACGAGGAGUUCGCAAACAGGGAGAUGGAGGAAGAGAAUGAUAUGGAGACCCAUUUUAAGGCCCAUCAAUGGGGGGUGGAGGAAGUAAGACAUAUCUGCCAACAAGAAGAAAAGGAGAUGGAAACAAAUACUGUGCAAAUUGAAAAUAAUGUUGAAAAGAUAUUAGACAAAACUAAUGAAGACGAAAGAAAUAUAAAUUUGAUUGAUGACUUCCAUGAUGAUGGCAAAGAUUCUCAUGUCAUGGAAGAAAGUGGCGAAUUGAAACUAAGCAGCCUUCAAGAAAACAAACAGGAUGAUGAGAUAAUUGAAGGGAUUUCCUUUCAUUUGUUCAAUCAUGAGAUUGAACAUGU
Molecule: long non-coding RNA, 357 nt
Filed under: Cucumis sativus (cucumber)
Lineage: Eukaryota; Viridiplantae; Streptophyta; Magnoliopsida; Cucurbitales; Cucurbitaceae
Description: long non-coding RNA (CSAT_LNC001317)
Source: RNAcentral